CACAAACCCUCCAAGGUGCCUUAUUGCUUUGAUAAAACCGGUUAUCAAUGUCAAUUAGAACAGUACAAAAUACAUGGUGUGCCACGGCUUUCAGCCAAUCAGCAUCCAGGAGCCAAACGAGCCGGGUUUAUAAUGGGCAGAUUCGACGAUGAUGCUGCUGAGGUAAAAGGCCCGUCACGCCAUCAUCCGUAAUCUGUGCUGCUCUGUCAUUUUGUCAACGAUGCAACAGAAACAUCUCUUUCCCUUUUCAAUUUAAUGUUUGAAUUGUGUUUUCAUUGGGAAGGUAGAUAGUGUUUUUAUCAACAACAACAACAACAAACAAAAAAAAUGACUGGAAUGAAUUUUCAAAAAAAAAUCACUGAAGCUGGAGUUUGGGUUUAGUGGGACUAUAAUGUCUUCAUCAACAGGACAAUGACCCAACACACUUACCGGGCUGGUUAAGGGAUAUUUGUCCAAGAAGGAGAGUGAUGGAGUGCUGCAUCAGAUGACCACUAUCCCCCCCUGAUCUCAACCCAAUUGAGACGGUUUGGGAUGAGUUGGUUCCGCAGAGUGAAGGAAAAGCAGCCAACAAGUGCUCAGCAUAUGUGGGAACUCCUUUAUUUAACCAGGUGGGCCAGUUGAGAACAAGUCCUUUAUUUAACCAGGUUAGGCUAGUUGAGAACAAGUCCUUUAUUUAACCAGGUUAGGCUAGUUGAGAACAAGUCCUUUAUUUAACCAGGUAGGCUAGUUGAGAACAAGUCCUUUAUUUAACCAGGUAGGCUAGUAGAGAACAAGUCCUUUAAUUAACCAGGUUAGGCUAGUUGAGAACAAGUCCUUUAAUUAACCAGGUUAGGCUAGUUGAGAACAAGUCCUUUAUUUAACCAGGUUAGGCUAGUUGAGAACAAGUCCUUUAUUUAACCAGGUAGGCUAGUUGAGAACAAGUCCUUUAUUUAACCAGGUCGGCAAGUUGUGAACAAGUUCUCAUUUACAACUGCGAC
This 977-nucleotide long non-coding RNA is filed under the name Salmo salar (Atlantic salmon). RNAcentral describes it as "lncRNA (ENSSSAG00000098740.1)". The record is from RNAcentral. Lineage: Eukaryota; Metazoa; Chordata; Actinopteri; Salmoniformes; Salmonidae.